Molecule: long non-coding RNA, 1085 nt
Organism: Dermacentor albipictus
Lineage: Eukaryota; Metazoa; Arthropoda; Arachnida; Ixodida; Ixodidae
Source: RefSeq, a predicted model, not a curated record
ACGUUGCGGUUGAUAAUCGCGGUUAUGAUGGGUGAUUUCGUCCUUGUGCGUAUGGUGACCGAGCCUGAAUGACUUCUGAGGCCACAGAUGGAACGGCCGAUGGGCAGCUUUGUUUACCUUCAAGACCGAGUGGUGCUGUGAGUUUGCUGAAAGCAACAACAGGACAGAAAAUAUGGAAUGUGGGCCUUGGAAGGACCAGCUGAUGAAAAAAUCUACGCCUGUGCUGCACAGUAAGGCUUCUGGCAGACCUGAAAGCAUCGAUAGAUAUGGUGCCUGCCUGUUGGAAUUGCACCAGCUCGCUUCCCUGAAAGGAGCUAGGUGCUGAAGAAGUACUUGACUAGCCUACCCGCAUUGUCAUUGUGACAGUCUGCAUCACCAUUUGGCCUAUUUUGGGAUCCCACAAGACACGCUGCUACCCUGCGUGUUGUACCUUGGUCAAUUGCUGAAGUACUGCAAGCCCCAUUGAAGCCAACUGUCAUCCGCAUCCAAUGGAAGAAACUCAUUGUUCGGGCCAUCAUAACUUAUCUUAAGCUGGAGCUAGAAGCAGGGUAGAAACAGCAUAUAUUCUACAAGAGUUUACCACUGCAUGCCAUCGGGUGGCUACACCCGACAGACUACUGUCUUGAACAGAGAUGGUGUUUUAUUCUAGAAUAUAUUAGUCAGCAGUACUACUCCUGUUUAUAUCCUUGGAAACAAACAAGCGAAGACACCAAACACAACAGAGGAGAAAUUACUUCUACUUACUAAUUGAAUUAAAGAAAUGACAAAUUAAUGGCAAUGAAAGUGGUUGAGAAAACUUGCCAUAGGCGUGCGAUGCUCCAACCAAUGGAGCUACCGCGGCACCGUUUUCCCAUCCACUUUCUUGUGUAUUUAUAUUUUACAACUAGAACUAACUACUACUACUACUAGAACUACAUCAUUUCCCACCUGCGGCAAGUUGUUUUUUCAUCCACUUUCAUUGCCAUUAAUUUGUCAUUUCUUUAUUUCAGUUAGUAAGUACAAGUAAUUUCCCUUAUGUUGUCUUUGGUGACUUUGCUUGUUGGCUUCUCAUGAUAUGAUUAUUAAAAAUCGCGCCCCUCGGUCAA